GAGACGCAGCGGAGCGGAGGUAGACACAGCCAGGUUCAUAUUGGAUAUGAGGAAGUUUUUUCAAAAACAGGAGCCACAUUCAGUCCAUAGAGGGAGAGAGGAAAGAGGGGAACAUGAGGAGAAAGUACAAGAUCAGGAAGAACCAGGUAAGAAAACAGACAGGGAACAGUGACAGGCAAAACAAAAAAAGUUAAACUGGCAAAGAAAAAAAACAACUAAUUUUACUCGUACAAUCUGGAAGUUGUGUUCUCCCUAUAUUAAAGCUGCUAUACAGAAUCUGCAAAACAAACUGGGUGGUCAGUCCUGGCACUGCAUUACCAUAUUGAACUUCAGUCAGAGGAAGUCACAGUUGCCAAAAACUUUUUGAAGCUCAAGAGUGAGGCUGGUGCCAUCCCAGAUAUGUUAACAUUGUACAAUCUUCUGGAUAAUCAGAUUUUCCCCACACUGAAAACUGUUAUUCAGGUUGCCCU
Long non-coding RNA from Oreochromis aureus, 470 nucleotides. The record is from Ensembl. NCBI's taxonomy places the organism in Eukaryota, Metazoa, Chordata, Actinopteri, Cichliformes, Cichlidae.